Molecule: non-coding RNA, 87 nt
Filed under: Halobacillus halophilus
Lineage: Bacteria; Bacillati; Bacillota; Bacilli; Caryophanales; Bacillaceae
Also listed under: 1 other name
Description: Glycine sequence
Rfam family: Glycine riboswitch aptamer
About the family: This family represents the bacterial glycine riboswitch.
Source: RNAcentral
AUGACUGCAGGGGGAGAGUCUACUUACGUAGCGCCGAAGGAGCAAGCAUGCUGUGAAUCUCUCAGGCAAACAGACCUCUGUAGGACG